UGGGGAAUUUUGGACAAUGGGCGCAAGCCUGAUCCAGCAAUGCCGCGUGCAGGAUGAAGGCCUUCGGGUUGUAAACUGCUUUUGUACGGAACGAAACGGCUCUGUCUAAUACAUGGGGCUAAUGACGGUACCGUAAGAAUAAGCACCGGCUAACUACGUGCCAGCAGCCGCGGUAAUACGUAGGGUGCAAGCGUUAAUCGGAAUUACUGGGCGUAAAGCGUGCGCAGGCGGUGAUGUAAGACAGGUGUGAAAUCCCCGGGCUUAACCUGGGAAUUGCAUUUGUGACUGCAUCGCUGGAGUGCGGCAGAGGGGGAUGGAAUUCCGCGUGUAGCGGUGGAAUGUGUAGAUAUCGGAAAGAACACCAGUGGCGAAGGCAGUCUUCUGGUCGAGAACUGACGCUCAGGCACGAAAGCGUGGGGAGCAAACA
This 427-nucleotide ribosomal RNA is filed under the name uncultured bacterium. Its description in RNAcentral is "bacterial SSU rRNA". It matches the Rfam family "Bacterial small subunit ribosomal RNA", at positions 355 to 774 of the family's 1533-position model. The record is from RNAcentral.